GCGGCUACUGCUAUCAGGUUUCGACUAAGCCAUGCGAGUCAAGGGGUCGUAAGACACCGGCGUACUGCUCAGUAACACGCGGACAAUCUACCCCCAGGUGGAGGAUAACCUCGGGAAACUGAGGCUAAUACCCCAUAGUUGUCAUGUGCUGGAAUGCUUUGACGAUGAAAGAAUUUCGCCUGAGGAUGAGUCUGCGGCCUAUCAGGUAGUAUGUGGUGUAAAGGACCACAUAGCCUAAGACGGGUACGGGCCUUGAAAGAGGGAGCCCGGAGAUGGACUCUGAGACACUAGUCCAGGCCCUACGGGGCGCAGCAGGCGCGAAAACUGUGCAAUGCGCGCAAGCGCGACACGGGAAGCCUGAGUGCCCUAACUAUGUUAAGGCUUUUCUUGAUCCUAAAAAGCUCAAGGAAUAAGAGCUGGGUAAGACGGGUGCCAGCCGCCGCGGUAACACCCGCGGCUCGAGUGCUAGUCACUUUUAUUGAGCCUAAAGCGUUUGUAGCCGGAUUUGUAAAUCUCUAGGAAAAUACUUCUGCUUAACUGAAGAAAUUUUGGAGAGACUGCAAAUCUAGGGACCGGGUGAGGUUGAAUGUACUUCUGGGGUAGGGGUAAAAUCCUGUAAUCCUGGAAGGACGACCGGUGGCGAAGGCGUUCAACUAGAACGGAUCCGACGGUGAGGAACGAAGGCUAGGGGAGCAAACCGGAUUAGAUACCCGGGUAGUCCUAGCUGUAAACACUGCCCACUUGGUGUUGCAUCUCCGGUAAGGGGGUGCAGUGCCGUAGCGAAGGUGUUAAGUGGGCCGCUUGGGGAGUAUGGUCGCAAGGCUGAAACUUAA
Molecule: ribosomal RNA, 833 nt
Filed under: archaeon enrichment culture
Lineage: Archaea
Description: bacterial SSU rRNA
Rfam family: Archaeal small subunit ribosomal RNA
Source: RNAcentral